AAGCGCGAUGAGGGGAUCCCAAGUGCUUGCUCGUAAGAGUAAGCUGUUUUUAUGUCUAAAAAGCAUGGAGAGUAAGGGCUGGGUAAGACGGGUGCCAGCCGCCGCGGUAAUACCUGCAGCUCAAGUGGUGAUCGCUAUUAUUGGGCCUAAAACGUUCGUAGCCGGUUUAGUAAAUGCCUGGGUAAAUCGUGUAGCUUAACUAUACGAAUUCCGGGUAGACUGCUAAACUUGAGACCGGGAGAGGCUAGAGGUACUCCUGGGGUAGAGGUGAAAUUCUGUAAUCCUAGGGGGACCACCAGUGGCGAAGGCGUCUAGCUAGAACGGGUCUGACGGUGAGGGACGAAGCCCUGGGGCGCAAACCGGAUUAGAUACCCGGGUAGUCCAGGGUGUAAACGCUGCUUGCUUGAUGUUAGUUGGGCUCCGAGCCCAAUUAGUGUCGGAGAGAAGUUGUUAAGCAAGCUGCCUGGGAAGUACGGUCGCAAGCGCGAUGAAGCGCGAUGAAGCGCGAUGAGCACA
RNAcentral lists this ribosomal RNA (516 nucleotides) under uncultured Methanosphaera sp. RNAcentral's name for it is "bacterial SSU rRNA". It matches the Rfam family "Archaeal small subunit ribosomal RNA", at positions 363 to 880 of the family's 1478-position model. The record is from RNAcentral. Lineage: Archaea; Methanobacteriati; Methanobacteriota; Methanobacteria; Methanobacteriales; Methanobacteriaceae.